RNAcentral lists this ribosomal RNA (460 nucleotides) under uncultured bacterium. RNAcentral describes it as "partial 16S ribosomal RNA". It matches the Rfam family "Bacterial small subunit ribosomal RNA", at positions 338 to 795 of the family's 1533-position model. The record is from RNAcentral.
CCUACGGGUGGCAGCAGUGAGGAAUAUUGGUCAAUGGGCGUAAGCCUGAACCAGCCAAGUCGCGUGAGGGAUGAAGGUUCUAUGGAUCGUAAACCUCUUUUAUCAGGGAAUAAAGUGUGGGACGUGUCCUGUUUUGUAUGUACCUUAUGAAUAAGGAUCGGCUAACUCCGUGCCAGCAGCCGCGGUAAUACGGAGGAUCCGAGCGUUAUCCGGAUUUUUUGGGGUUAAAGGGUGCGUAGGCGGCCUUUUAAGUCAGCGGUGAAAGUCUGUGGCUCAACCAUAGAAUUGCCGUUGAAACUGGGAGGCUUGAGUAUGCUUGAGGCAGGCGGAAUGCGUGGUGUAGCGGUGAAAUGCUUAGAUAUCACGCAGAACCCCGAUUGCGAAGGCAGCCUGCCAAGCCAUGACUGACGCUGAUGCACGAAAGCGUGGGGAUCAAACAGUAUUAGAUACCCCUGUAGUC